AUGGAAGUCAAGAAUUUACAAGAUUACAAAGUGACAAAAUUACACAAACACUUAAAGGUCCUAAAGUCUAAACCAAUGCUAAACUUCAUCUUUCAUCUUCUCUACCAAAACUCAAUGAACACCAUCUUUUUAAUUCAUUAUUCAAGCUUCAAACCAUAUUGUGUUGCGCCAAAGCAAUUACAAGCGCAUUGCUUGGCCUCGCCUAAACUACCCGCAAGAUCACACCAUGAACCAUGUCCAAACAUUAACCAUUAA
Non-coding RNA from Vicia faba (fava bean), 255 nucleotides. Lineage: Eukaryota; Viridiplantae; Streptophyta; Magnoliopsida; Fabales; Fabaceae. The record is from the annotation of a GenBank genome assembly.